CCUACGGGCGGCUGCAGUGGGGAAUAUUGGACAAUGGGGGGAACCCUGAUCCAGCCAUGCCGCGUGUGUGAAGAAGGCCCUCGGGUUGUAAAGCACUUUCAGUGAGGAAGAACGCCUGGUGGUUAAUACCCAUCAGGAAAGACAUCACUCACAGAAGAAGCACCGGCUAACUCCGUGCCAGCAGCCGCGGUAAUACGGAGGGUGCGAGCGUUAAUCGGAAUUACUGGGCGUAAAGCGCGCGUAGGUGGCUUGAUAAGCCGGUUGUGAAAGCCCCGGGCUCAACCUGGGAACGGCAUCCGGAACUGUCAAGCUAGAGUGCAGGAGAGGAAAGUAGAAUUCCCGGUGUAGCGGUGAAAUGCGUAGAGAUCGGGAGGAAUACCAGUGGCGAAGGCGGCCUUCUGGACUGACACUGACACUGAGGUGCGAAAGCGUGGGUAGCAAACAGGAUUAGAUACCCUUGUAGUC
Molecule: ribosomal RNA, 465 nt
Filed under: Vreelandella stevensii
Lineage: Bacteria; Pseudomonadati; Pseudomonadota; Gammaproteobacteria; Oceanospirillales; Halomonadaceae
Description: partial 16S ribosomal RNA
Rfam family: Bacterial small subunit ribosomal RNA
Source: RNAcentral